Long non-coding RNA from Humulus lupulus (European hop), 1554 nucleotides. RefSeq lists it as uncharacterized. The transcript has 2 exons. The record is from RefSeq and is a predicted model, not a curated record. Lineage: Eukaryota; Viridiplantae; Streptophyta; Magnoliopsida; Rosales; Cannabaceae.
UCUUAAUUAAAAAACUGUUUUUUAAAAGCAAGUUGGGAGUGUUUGGCGUUGUUUUUAUAAAACAAUUUUUAAAAACGAAGUUACAAAAAACAGAAAAUUUUGAGAACAACAAAAAAUUGUUUUCUGUUGUUCUAAAAAAAAAUUUAUCUAUCUUUUUUUUUCUCUCAUAAGUUUUUUAAUUAUUAUCUAAGAUCUUUUAUUGUCACAUCAUUUUCUCUCUUACUAGUUUCUCUCUUUUCACUUUCCCUCUCAUCACUUUCUAUCUCUUUAUUUUCUUUCUCCUUACAUUUUCUUUCUUCACUUUCUCUCUCUCGUUCUUUUCUCUCUUCUCACUUUCUCUCUUUUCAUUUUCUCUUUCAUCAUUUUCUAUCUCCUUAUUUUCUCUUGCAUCACUUAUUAUGUCAUCAUUUUCUCUUUCAUCACUUACUAUAUCCUCACUUUCUCUCUCAUCACUUAAUAUAUCAUCAUUUUCUCUCUCAUUAUUUCAUCUCUCAUCAUUUUUUCUCUACUCACUUUUAUCUCUUCACUUUCUUUCUCAUUAUAUUCUCUAUCAUUUUUUCUUUGAUCAAUUUCUCUCAAUUUUUAUUUUUUCAAAUUUUCUCUCCUUACUUUCUCACUCCUUAUUUUUCAUUAUUUUUUCUUUCAAAUUAUUUUAUCUUAUUAUUUAUUAUAAACUUUUAAAAUAAAAUUCUCUUUGUUAAUUUUUAUUUAAAAUUUAAAAAAAAUAAAACUAAAAAAUUAUUUUUAGAAAACAUUUACCAAACACUAUAAAAAAAAAAACUUUUUUAUGUUCUCAUUAACAAAACUUUGAAAACAAAAAAAUAGAAAAAAUGACAAACAGACCCUUAGGGUAUGAUUGGUAUAGAAUUUGGAUACAACUUUAUGAUUUAGAAAACUGAAAAUUUGUGGGCCCAUGAAAAUAAUUGAUUGUUAGCUAGUUUUUGAAAAUCAGAUCCAAAUCUAAAUUUGGACUUUAUGUUGUAAAAUAGAAAACGAAUAAAUCUCGUUUUGUUCGUUUUGUGAAAUUUCUUCCUAAAACCCCUAAAAACAAAAUCCAUCUCUUCUCCCCUCCAUCAUUUGCGAAAGACAGAGCUUCUUCAUCUCUCUCCCAUCAAUGGUGAUUCGCUGCCCUUACUAACAGCACCUGAUCCACUCCAACUCCACAUCUACCAUCAGCCACAUAAAAUGUCGAGUCAUGUGAUUGGAACCCAAAUAUUGACGUGGGAUUUAUAUUUCCAUCCUUUCUUCUCCAACACUGAAUUGACGAUUUUGGCGGUGAAGGGAGCGGCGAUGGUGGCUCUGUACCGUUACCAUAUUGGGGACUAAGCGCGGUAGGGAGAGCUUUACUCUAGAGUUUAUUCUUUUUCUGCUUGAUCUAUUAUCCAGCAAACAAAAUUAAAAAAAGAAAAUAAUGUUCUUUUUGGUUUAGAAUUGAUGAAGAAAAAAAAAAGAAAAUUUGUAAUUCUCUGAAUAUUUUUAAUUGUUCUGUUAUUCGUUAAUUGAAUUUUUUUUAUUGUUGAGAUUUUAUAAUGAUAAAGUUUGACUUUUUAUUUA